UGCGAUAAGGGGACCCCGAGUGCGAGGGCAUACAGUCCUCGCUUUUCUGAACGGUAAGGACGUUCAGGAACAAGUGCUGGGCAAGACCGGUGCCAGCCGCCGCGGUAAUACCGGCAGCACGAGUGAUGGCCGAUCUUAUUGGGCCUAAAGCGUCCGUAGCCGGCCGAGCAAGUUCGUCGGGAAAUCCACCAGCUCAACUGGUGGACGUCCGGCGAAAACUGUUCGGCUUGGGGCCGGAAGACCCAAGGGGUACGUCCGGGGUAGGAGUGAAAUCCUGUAAUCCCGGACGGACCGCCGAUGGCGAAAGCACCUUGGGAAGACGGACCCGACGGUGAGGGACGA
RNAcentral lists this ribosomal RNA (342 nucleotides) under uncultured haloarchaeon. Its description in RNAcentral is "bacterial SSU rRNA". It matches the Rfam family "Archaeal small subunit ribosomal RNA", at positions 366 to 707 of the family's 1478-position model. The record is from RNAcentral. Lineage: Archaea; Methanobacteriati; Methanobacteriota; Halobacteria; Halobacteriales; Halobacteriaceae.